GACGAACGCUGGCGGCGUGCCUAACACAUGCAAGUCGAACGGUAAGGCUUUGCUCUUGCGGGGUUUUCGAGUGGCGAACGGGUGUGUAUCACGCGAGUAACCUGCCCUUGACUUUGGGGUAACUUAUGGAAACUCGGGUUAAUAUCGGAUAGGAGCACUUGCUGCAUGGUGGGGGUUGGAAAGUUGCGGCGGUUUGGGAUGGAAUCGUGGGUUAUCAGUUUGUUGGUGGGGUAGUGGCUUACCAAGGCGUUGACGGGUAGCCGGCCUGCGAGGGUGACCGGCCACAAACGGACUGGGGUACGAGCCGGAGUGCUACGGGGGGCAGCGGUGGGAAUUAUUGCACAAAGGGCGGAAGCCGUAUGCAACGACGCCGCGUGCGAAAAGACGGCCUGCGGGGUAGAAACCGCUUGCGCCUGUAACGAAGCGUGAGUGACGGUAAUGAGUAAAGAAGCACCGGCUAACUACGUG
This 468-nucleotide ribosomal RNA is filed under the name uncultured bacterium. RNAcentral describes it as "partial 16S ribosomal RNA". It matches the Rfam family "Bacterial small subunit ribosomal RNA", at positions 28 to 507 of the family's 1533-position model. The record is from RNAcentral.